UACGGAAGGCAGCAGUGGGGAAUAUUGCACAAUGGGCGCAAGCCUGAUGCAGCCAUGCCGCGUGUAUGAAGAAGGCCUUCGGGUUGUAAAGUACUUUCAGCGGGGAGGAAGGCGAUGUGGUUAAUAACCGCAUCGAUUGACGUUACCCGCAGAAGAAGCACCGGCUAACUCCGUGCCAGCAGCCGCGGUAAUACGGAGGGUGCAAGCGUUAAUCGGAAUUACUGGGCGUAAAGCGCACGCAGGCGGUCUGUCAAGUCGGAUGUGAAAUCCCCGGGCUUAACCUGGGAACUGCAUUCGAAACUGGCAGGCUAGAGUCUUGUAGAGGGGGUAGAAUUCCAGGUGUAGCGGUGAAAUGCGUAGAGAUCUGGAGGAAUACCGGUGGCGAAGGCGGCCCCUGGACAAAGACUGACGCUCAGGGUGCGAAAGCGUGGGGAGCAAACAGGAUUAGAUAACC
RNAcentral lists this ribosomal RNA (454 nucleotides) under uncultured bacterium. RNAcentral describes it as "bacterial SSU rRNA". It matches the Rfam family "Bacterial small subunit ribosomal RNA", at positions 340 to 787 of the family's 1533-position model. The record is from RNAcentral.